GCUAGGUGGGGUGGCACAAGGUUAGAGAUCCCCACGGGUACCAGAACACCCCACCCCCACCCCAGGCCUCUUAUUUGGGGUAGGGGAGCCCCAGAAAGAGUUCUAUCUUUAAGGGAAAAAUGAAGACUGCAUGACUUUACUUCAUUAAAUAUCUAUUAGAGCCAGGCACUGUACAGGGUAGUGAGCACACAAAGGUAAAGCUAAAAGUUCCUGUCCUCAGAAAGCUUAUAGUCUGCUGAGGAAAAUAUGGACAACAUUAAGUAAACACUCAAUAUAUACAAAAGUAAUUUCCAGAUGAUGAAAAUACCAUCAAAGUAUAGGACAAUGAAAGGCUUCUCUCAUAUAGAAGGUGCUCCCUGAAGUGUGAGUCUUUCAGAACCCUGGAGACUAGAAGAGGCUGAGGGGAAGAAGGAGACUGCUCCAGGGGUUCAGUCUAUAUUUGUAGGAAGGCACCAAAACUGAUGAGGCAAUACUGAGUUCAGGAAGUUCAAAGGCCCAUUGUAGGAACAAUGUGAAGCCAGUCUGGAAAGAUGGGACUGGAAUCAUAUUGGGAAGGAAUUUAAAAUGUCAAACAAGUACUUUCUAUUUUAUCCUAGAGGUAACAGGAAAGCACUGGACCUUCUUGAUUUGUGCUUUAAAAACAUCAAUUCUGUGGCUAUGGAGAGGAGAGAAAUUGGAUACAUGGAGACCAUUUAGGAAGUUAUUGUAAUAGUCCAGGGAAAGGAACCCCAGAGCCUGUCUCAUUAAGUGCCUCCCCUUAAAGCAGAGAGACCCUGAGGGGCUGAAGGCCUCACCUGCCAAUGAUGUGGGCAUCACCUGUCUCCACCGUUAGCUGGGAGUUGAUCGCCUCAAAACUGGAGUUUUCUAAGAGCUUCAUCUUCUGCAGGGGCCAGGGCCAAGGAAGUCAAGGGCCUUGGGUUAGGGCAGCAAAGAAAGUGUGCCUGUUGGGUACAUGGGGCCCGUCA
Molecule: long non-coding RNA, 965 nt
Organism: Monodelphis domestica (gray short-tailed opossum)
Lineage: Eukaryota; Metazoa; Chordata; Mammalia; Didelphimorphia; Didelphidae
Source: RefSeq, a predicted model, not a curated record